RNAcentral lists this ribosomal RNA (301 nucleotides) under uncultured bacterium. RNAcentral's name for it is "partial 16S ribosomal RNA". It matches the Rfam family "Bacterial small subunit ribosomal RNA", at positions 509 to 807 of the family's 1533-position model. The record is from RNAcentral.
CAGUCGCCACGGUAAUACGAAGGGGGCUAGCGUUGCUCGGAAUGACUGGGCGUAAAGGGCGCGUAGGCGGAUUGUUUAGUUAGGCGUGAAAUUCCUGGGCUUAACCUGGGGACUGCGCUUAAUACAGGCAGUCUAGAGUGAGGAAGAGGGUUGUGGAAUUCCCAGUGUAGAGGUGAAAUUCGUAGAUAUUGGGAAGAACACCGGUGGCGAAGGCGGCAACCUGGUCCUUGACUGACGCUGAGGCGCGAAAGCGUGGGGAGCAAACAGGAUUAGAUACCCCAGUAGUCCCUGUCUCUUAUAC